GACGAACGCUGGCGGCGUGCUUAACACAUGCAAGUCGAACGGAAAGGCCUGCUUUCCCUUGUGGAUUGCGGGUACUCGAGUGGCGAACGGGUGAGUAACACGUGAGUGAUCUGCCCCCAACUUGGGUAUAAGCCUGGGAAACUGGGUCUAAUUCCCGAUAGGACUGCAGGGUGGUGCCUGUGGUGGCAAACGAUUUUCUAGUGGUUGGGGAUGAGCUCGCGGCCUAUCAGCUUGUUGGUGGGGUAAUGUCCUACCAAGGCGGCGACGGGUAGCCGGCCUGGGAGGGUGGACGGCCACAUUGGGACUGAGAUACGGCCCAGACGCCUACGGGAGGCAGCAGAGGGGAAGAUUGCACAGUGGGCGGAAGCCUGAUGCAGCGACGCCGCGUGGGGGAUGACGGCCUUCGGGUUGUAAACUCCUUGCGACCGCGAGGAAGCCACCUGGUUGGAAGGGUGGUGACGGUAGUGGUAGAAGAAGCACCGGCUAACUACGUG
RNAcentral lists this ribosomal RNA (494 nucleotides) under uncultured bacterium. RNAcentral's name for it is "partial 16S ribosomal RNA". It matches the Rfam family "Bacterial small subunit ribosomal RNA", at positions 28 to 507 of the family's 1533-position model. The record is from RNAcentral.